Molecule: long non-coding RNA, 894 nt
Organism: Chelonia mydas (Green sea turtle)
Lineage: Eukaryota; Metazoa; Chordata; Testudines; Cheloniidae
Exons: 3
Source: RefSeq, a predicted model, not a curated record
UGCCAGCUGGCAGUAAUCAAGGGCAGCUGAGCCUCCUUAGGCUCAGAACCUUGAAGAGCAGCUUAGCUCAGUCAAGGCAGAGAAGGGACAUUCUGCUUGUUGGAGACCAGGACAGGGUGCUCUAGAGACGAAUAUUGUUUAUAGUACUGUGUAAGGAUUCCCGCUGCAGGAAGAAAAUGUGGCUAGAAGUAGCAUUGUGGUUUGGUUUCUUUGGCUGUGCAAGACCUGAAGUCUCAGAGCGAGUAGUUCAGCCUGGACUUCCUGGGAAACUUCUCUCCAGCUAUGUAGUCCCAGACUCUGCCCUGUGUGGGAUUUUUCAUGGGCUGCUCACCAGAGACGAGUAGAAAGGAUUCCAUUUAAAUGUGCCUUCUACCUGAGCACCCCUCUAAACAUGCAGUGAUCCUCCUCCCAGCUGUGACCCAGCAUUGUUGGCAGCAGGGAUUUCACUGUUUCAUGCCUCUUACAAAAGGAGGCAGAGUGCCUAGUGAUUAGAGCACUGGACGGGGACUCAGGCAGCCCUUGGGUGCAUUCAGUUCAGAAUAUUACUUGGUCAGCCUCUGCAAUUCCUCUCUGAAAACCUCAUUUGAGGAAGAUAAUAAGGUAAGUCUGUUGAUCAGCCAAUACUAGUUGCUGGAUACAGGGUUAAUUCUUUGAGUGGGUUGCCUAAAAAUAAACUUUGUCAUUUUAUACCACACACGCACUUCCCUCAUCUCAAAAAGUUUGAUAAUUUUUACUCUUAUCUCACCUUCCUAAAGAGAAGAAAUAUGUUUUGAAAUGUGCUGGAACCUCAAGAAAAGUCCAUUUCAAGUUUCAGAGUAGCAGCCGUGUUAGUCUGUAUUCGCAAAAAGAAAAGGAGUAUUUGUGGCACCUUAGACUAACCAAUUUAUUUGAGCA